GUAGAGUUUAAGAACGCAAAUCUGGUUUUGGAGAUAGAUGAUCUUGUUGACUUUCCACAGCUUUGAUCUUGAACUGGUUUGGAAUUCUGAGCGAGGACUAUGAGAGUUCCUUGGUUUCAAAUCAGACUCCUUCUGCUGGGUUGAUUUGAUUGUGCAGUCUGCAUUCUUCUCUGCUUGUUUCUUCUGCACGACGGGCAGG
Molecule: long non-coding RNA, 199 nt
Filed under: Malus domestica (apple)
Lineage: Eukaryota; Viridiplantae; Streptophyta; Magnoliopsida; Rosales; Rosaceae
Description: long non-coding RNA (MDOM_LNC018919)
Source: RNAcentral